ACGCUCGACACCUACUGGAGGCAGCAGUGGGGAAUAUUGGGCAAUGGGCGCAAGCCUGACCCAGCAACGCCGCGUGAAGGAAGAAGGCCCUCGGGUUGUAAACUUCUUUUAACAGGGACGAAGUAAGUGACGGUACCUGUUGAAUAAGCCACGGCUAACUACGUCCCAGCAGCCGCGGUAAUCUGAGCGGGCUGGCAAGGC
Molecule: ribosomal RNA, 201 nt
Filed under: uncultured bacterium
Lineage: Bacteria
Description: partial 16S ribosomal RNA
Rfam family: Bacterial small subunit ribosomal RNA
Source: RNAcentral